AUUGAACGCUGGCGGCAGGCCUAACACAUGCAAGUCGAACGAGUGGCGGACGGGUGAGUAAUGUCUGGGAAACUGCCUGAUGGAGGGGGAUAACUACUGGAAACGGUAGCUAAUACCGCAUACCAUGGGAUGUGCCAAGAUGGGAUUAGCUAGGAGGUGGGGAAAAGGCUCACCUAGGCGACGAUCCCUAGCUGGUCGGAGAGGAUGACCCGCCACACUGGAACUGAGACACGGUCCCGACUCCUACGGGAGGCCGCAGUGGGGAAUAUUGCACAAUGGGCGCACGCCUGAUGCCGCCUUGCCGCGUGUAUGAAGAAGGCCUUCGUGUUGUAAAGUACUUUCAGCGUGGAGGCGUUACCCGCAGAAGAAGCACCGGCUAACUCCGUGCCAGCAGCCGCGGUAAUAC
Molecule: ribosomal RNA, 406 nt
Filed under: uncultured bacterium
Lineage: Bacteria
Description: partial 16S ribosomal RNA
Rfam family: Bacterial small subunit ribosomal RNA
Source: RNAcentral